GUAGCCAGUCAUGUCCUAUUUGUCAACAGCGAAUCAUAGUUACAGGUAUUAUAUAUGUCAACAAUGUUGUUUUAUUCCACUGUAAACAUGCAUUUCACGAAGACUGCUUACCCACGAACUCAAUGGAGCGCUGUACAAUCUGUACUACACAAAAGAGGGGACCGGGAUCUAAGGGCGUGGUCAAGUAAUGUCAAUCAUAGGAGUUUGCCAAUAGUGUCCAUCAAAGGCGUGGACAACGCAGGU
Saccostrea cuccullata (small rock oyster) is the source of this 243-nucleotide long non-coding RNA. RefSeq lists it as uncharacterized. The transcript has 3 exons. Lineage: Eukaryota; Metazoa; Mollusca; Bivalvia; Ostreida; Ostreidae. The record is from RefSeq and is a predicted model, not a curated record.